This is a small nuclear RNA of Leptonychotes weddellii (Weddell seal), 143 nucleotides long. RefSeq annotates it as U4 spliceosomal RNA. The record is from RefSeq and is a predicted model, not a curated record. NCBI's taxonomy places the organism in Eukaryota, Metazoa, Chordata, Mammalia, Carnivora, Phocidae.
AGCUUUGCGCAGUGGCAGUAUCGUAGCCAAUGAGGUUUAUCUGAGGCGCGAUUAUUGCUAAUUGAAUAUAUGAUCAUAGAACAUUUAGGAGGUAUUUCAUGAUUAUACAAAUCCCUACAAUUUUUGCUCUGCAUCUCAAGUGU